RNAcentral lists this small nuclear RNA (61 nucleotides) under Cervus elaphus hippelaphus. The record is from RNAcentral. Lineage: Eukaryota; Metazoa; Chordata; Mammalia; Artiodactyla; Cervidae.
AGGUUUGCACAGUGGCAGUAUCGUAUUCAAUGAGGUUUAUCCAAGGCACGGUUAUUGCCAA